GGGUUGUGAGGUUAAGCGACUAAGCGUACACGGUGGAUGCCCUGGCAGUCAGAGGCGAUGAAGGACGUGCUAAUCUGCGAAAAGCGCCGGCGAGGUGAUAUGAACCUUUGACCCGGCGAUGUCCGAAUGGGGAAACCCAGUGCAAUUCGUUGCACUAUCGUUAACUGAAUACAUAGGUUAACGAGGCGAACCGGGGGAACUGAAACAUCUAAGUACCCCGAGGAAAAGAAAUCAACCGAGAUUCCCCCAGUAGCGGCGAGCGAACGGGGAGGAGCCCAGAGUCUGAAUCAGCGUGUGUGUUAGUGGAAGCGUCUGGAAAGUCGCACGAUACAGGGUGAAAGUCCCGUACACGAAAAUGCACAGGCUGUGAACUCGAAGAGUAGGGCGGGACACGUGGUAUCCUGUCUGAAUAUGGGGGGACCAUCCUCCAAGGCUAAAUACUCCUGACUGACCGAUAGUGAACCAGUACCGUGAGGGAAAGGCGAAAAGAACCCCGGCGAGGGGAGUGAAAAAGAACCUGAAACCGUGUACGUACAAGCAGUGGGAGCAUCCUUCGGGGUGUGACUGCGUACCUUUUGUAUAAUGGGUCAGCGACUUAUAUUCUGUAGCAAGGUUAACCG
RNAcentral lists this ribosomal RNA (620 nucleotides) under Pluralibacter gergoviae. RNAcentral's name for it is "bacterial LSU rRNA". It matches the Rfam family "Bacterial large subunit ribosomal RNA", at positions 1 to 652 of the family's 2925-position model. Lineage: Bacteria; Pseudomonadati; Pseudomonadota; Gammaproteobacteria; Enterobacterales; Enterobacteriaceae. The record is from RNAcentral.